AUUGAACGCUGGCGGAAUGCUUUACACAUGCAAGUCGAACGGCGGCACGGACUUCGGUCUGGUGGCGAGUGGCGAACGGGUGAGUAAUACAUCGGAACGUGCCCAAUCGUGGGGGAUAACGUAGCGAAAGCUACGCUAAUACCGCAUACGAUCUAAGGAUGAAAGCGGGGGAUCGCAAGACCUUGCGCGAUUGGAGCGGCCGAUGGCAGAUUAGGUAGUUGGUAGGGUAAAGGCCUACCAAGCCGACGAUCUGUAGCUGGUCUGAGAGGAUGAUCAGCCACACUGGGACUGAGACACGGCCCAGACUCCUACGGGAGGCAGCAGUGGGGAAUGUUGGACAAUGGACGCAAGUCUGAUCCAGCCAUUCCGCGUGCAGGAUGAAGGCCCUCGGGUUGUAAACUGCUUUUGUACAGAACGAAAAGGCUCUGGUUAAUACCUAGGGCUCAUGACGGUACUGUAAGAAUAAGCACCGGCUAACUACGUGCCAGCAGCCGCGGUAA
Molecule: ribosomal RNA, 500 nt
Filed under: uncultured bacterium
Lineage: Bacteria
Description: partial 16S ribosomal RNA
Rfam family: Bacterial small subunit ribosomal RNA
Source: RNAcentral